RNAcentral lists this ribosomal RNA (253 nucleotides) under uncultured bacterium. RNAcentral's name for it is "partial 16S ribosomal RNA". It matches the Rfam family "Bacterial small subunit ribosomal RNA", at positions 524 to 776 of the family's 1533-position model. The record is from RNAcentral.
UACGUAGGGGGCAAGCGUUGUCCGGAAUUAUUGGGCGUAAAGAGCGCGUAGGCGGUCCGAUAAGUCGACUGUGAAAGUCCAGGGCUCAACCCUGGAAAGCCGGUCGAUACUGUCGGACUAGAGUCCGGAAGAGGCAAGUGGAAUUCCCGGUGUAGCGGUGAAAUGCGCAGAUAUCAGGAGGAACACCGGUGGCGAAGGCGGGUCUCUGGGCCGAUACUGACGCUGAGGAGCGAAAGCGUGGGGAGCGAACAGG